UACGUAGGAUCCAAGUGUUGUCCGGAUUUACUGGGUGUAAAGGGUGCGCAGGCGGAAUGGUAAGUCAGAGGUGAAAUCUCAUCGCUCAACGGUGAAACUGCCUUUGAUACUAUCAUUCUUGAGUCCGAUAGAGAUCUGUGGAAUUCCGAGUGUAGCAGUGAAAUGUGUAGAUAUUCGGAAGAACACCAGUGGCGAAGGCAGCAGAUUGGGUCGGUACUGACGCUCAGGCACGAAAGCAUGGGGAUCAAACAGG
This 253-nucleotide ribosomal RNA is filed under the name uncultured bacterium. RNAcentral's name for it is "partial 16S ribosomal RNA". It matches the Rfam family "Bacterial small subunit ribosomal RNA", at positions 524 to 776 of the family's 1533-position model. The record is from RNAcentral.